Molecule: long non-coding RNA, 677 nt
Organism: Xenopus laevis (African clawed frog)
Lineage: Eukaryota; Metazoa; Chordata; Amphibia; Anura; Pipidae
Exons: 3
Source: RefSeq, a predicted model, not a curated record
GUUGCAGGAACAAUUGGACCGGUUUAUGAAAAUGAACGAAGACUUGCGCCAUAAAAUGUCUGUGCUCCAAGCACAGCUUAAAAGCUCUCUGCAGAGAAAAACUGAACUGGAAGCCUUGCUACAGGAAAAGCAAAAAGAAAAUGUUACCAUGUCUAAAACCUGUGUUGUAGCCCCUGGUAUCCCAGACAGCAACAUGCAGUGAUGAAGAGGAUAACACUUGGAUGCAGACACCUGGCACAGACUGUGUGGUUUCCAAGCCCUCAGAUUCCAUAAUCAGGAGUUUGUUUGGCAUGUGGUACAGCAAGCCGACAGCUGAUACAGAACCCUGGGAGAUUAUUAGUCCAAAGGAAAUCAACCAAGAACAAAAGUUGGAAACAUCUAAUGAAAAUGACUGACUUUGAUAAUAACCCAAUUGACUUGUACUGAAAUCCUGAAUUCUUAGCACUUGUAAUUGGGAUGAACAACUGUAGCUCCUGGAGAUCUGUCCUCGAAUUUACAGUGUUGCAUUUCUCAUCUGCCUCUGAACAUGAUUAAAUGUGAUCCUACCUACUAUAUUCAAAUCCCAUCAUGCCAUUAAACAGUGGGCUGCCCAGGGCCACAGAUUACUCCCACAACAUGUGAAAAAUGUAUAUAUAUCUACCCACAUAAAAAAGUGGAAAUAUAUUUUUCUAACACUA